Saccostrea echinata is the source of this 443-nucleotide long non-coding RNA. RefSeq lists it as uncharacterized. Lineage: Eukaryota; Metazoa; Mollusca; Bivalvia; Ostreida; Ostreidae. The record is from RefSeq and is a predicted model, not a curated record. The transcript has 4 exons.
UGAAGAUGAUAUACAUUGCAUUGAUUGCUUGUAUUCUUUUUUCAAGUUUACAAAUGUAUUCCUCCCAACCACUGUUACCGAAGGACCUUAAGAACCGAGAGAAUUUCCGGUGUCCUGAUAUAAACAGUCCCUAUUGUACCCUGGACGGGACCAAGAGAUACAAGAACGCAUGCGAGGCCUGGAAAGCAUACGAAGAAAAGGUCAAACCUUGUACGUAGCACCAAGUGAUCACGAUGCAUCGAAUGAUAAUGAAGGACAUCAUUUUGAUGGAUCUCAAACUUGAAGUCAGUCAACCCAGGAAAAUCCAGUUUCUGAUAUUGUAUUUUUUAUAUGCUUGUUUUAGUAUUUUGCCUUUUGUUAUUAUUAUACACCUAUUUAUUUACGUGUUUUCUUUUUAUCUGUUAAUAUCCUGUAAAUGGAAGUAAAUAUAUUUAUUUUCCAAA